RNAcentral lists this ribosomal RNA (1749 nucleotides) under Triticum aestivum (bread wheat). RNAcentral describes it as "partial small subunit ribosomal RNA". The record is from RNAcentral. Lineage: Eukaryota; Viridiplantae; Streptophyta; Magnoliopsida; Poales; Poaceae.
AUGGCCGCCGUGGAGGAUGAGACGCUGAGGGCGUUCGAAGAGGAGGACGACGCCAUGAUGAAUGAGCCGGACGGCGAGCCCAUGGACGACGAGGAGGAGGCCGACUCCCCGGCGACGAUGAAGGUCGGCGAGGAGAAGGAGAUCGGGAAGCAGGGGCUGAAGAAGAAGCUCGUCAAGGAGGGCGAGGGCUGGGAACGGCCCGAAACCGGCGACGAGGUCGAAGUGCACUACACGGGCACUCUCCUCGACGGGGCCAAGUUCGAUUCGAGCCGAGACCGCGGGACUCCCUUCAAGUUCAAGCUCGGGCAGGGGCAGGUGAUCAAGGGAUGGGACCAGGGCAUCAAGACCAUGAAGAAAGGCGAGAACGCCGUCCUCACCAUCCCGCCGGACCUCGCGUACGGCGAGGCGGGCUCCCCGCCCACGAUCCCGCCCAACGCGACGCUCCGGUUCGACGUCGAGCUCCUCUCGUGGGCCAGCGUCAAGGACAUCUGCAAGGACGGCGGCAUCUUCAAGAAGGUCCUCGUCGAGGGUCAGAAAUGGGAGAAUCCCAAGGAUCUGGACGAAGUUACUGUCAAGUACGAGGCCAGACUCGAGGAUGGAUCGGUCGUGUCCAAGUCAGAGGGUAUUGAAUUCGCAGUGAAGGAUGGUUACUUCUGCCCGGCACUUUCCAAAGCCGUCAAGACCAUGAAGAAGGGCGAGAAGGUCCUCCUGACCGUCAAGCCACAAUAUGGUUUUGGCGAGCAAGGAAGGCCGGCUUCUGAAGUUGAAGGCGCCGUGCCCCCGAAUUCCACAUUGCAUAUCGAUCUUGAGCUAGUCUCCUGGAAGACGGUCACCCUCAUCGGUGAAGACAAGAGGAUCUUGAAGAAGGUGCUCAAGGAAGGAGCAGGCUACGAGCGCCCCAACGACGGGGCAGUUGUGAGUGUGAGGCUGAUCGGCAAGUUGGACGACGGCACUGUGUUCACGAAGAAAGGACAUGAAGGCGACGAACCAUUCGAGUUCAGGACGGAUGAGGAGCAGGUCAUCGAAGGGCUGGACACGACGGUGCUCACCAUGAAGAAAGGAGAGGUCGCGUCAGCUAGAAUACCACCUGAACAUGCGUUCGGAUCCACCGAGACGAAGCUUGAUCUUGCUGUGGUUCCUCCCAACUCCACCGUCUUCUAUGAAGUGGAGAUUGUUUCCUUCGACAAGGAGAAAGAAUCUUGGGACUUGAAGAGUAAUGCUGAGAAGAUCGAAGCAGCUGCUAAAAAGAAAGAUGAAGGAAAUGCGUGGUUUAAGAUGGGCAAGUACGCCAAGGCUUCCAAGAGAUAUGAGAAGGCUGCGAAGUACAUUGAGUACGACAGCUCCUUCAGCGAGGAUGAGAAGAAGCAAUCCAAGGCAGUGAAGAUCAGCAUCAAGCUAAACAACGCAGCGUGCAAGCUGAAGCUAAAGGAUUACAAAGAAGCAGAGAAGCUCUGCACCAAGGUUUUGGAACUGGAGAGCACAAACGUCAAGGCUCUGUACCGGAGGGCGCAGGCGUACACCGAGCUCGUGGAUCUGGAGCUGGCAGAGCUAGAUAUCAAGAAGGCUCUGGAGAUCGACCCAGACAACAGGGAGGUGAAGGUUGCGUACAAGGCGUUGAAGGACAAGCUGAGGGAGUACAACAAGAGGGACGCCAAGUUCUACGGUAACAUGUUCGCCAAAUGGAGGAAGACGGAGAACGCCGCCGGGAAGCAGGACGCACAGCCUAUGGCCAUCGACAGCACCGCGUGA